AGCAGUUCCUGUUGGAAGGCGUCCAAAGAAACACCACUUUCAGUCAGGCAGAGCAAGCAGCAUCUACAGCAGCUCAAUACGGCAGAAGGCUGAAGGCUUAAUUGUGUUGUAUUGAAGGAUGAACAGAAACAACGUCGUGACGCAAGUCGUCCUCCAGAGAAUCCAGUCCUUGACUAUCGCACUUUGUCAUGAAACAACGGUUGGCCCAGGUAUGAAACGGCUGACGCUCGACUACUCCUCAAAUCAGGAAACUAAAAGGAAACUGCUGGGCGGAUUGGAAAGAAACAUGUGAACGGCCUAUGCUUUCUUCCCAAUGCUCUGCACUCGAUUCUUUGAAGGGGCCACAAGAUUCACAGUGGAUAUUAUUGGUCUGAUGACAGAGUUGGCUAUGGCUGGGGGGCUUUAUGGCAGUCCAGAGUACAGUAUUGCAACAGAGGCCUUGUUCACUGGAGUGCGUGGAGAAUGUGACUUACUCCCUCUUCAUCUUCAUCAGCACACCGCAUUGUAGCACAACAUGUCCGACUCAGUCAGUGAGUCAGUGAGUGAGUGAGUGAGUGAGUGAGUGAGUGAGUGAGUGAGUGAGUGAGUGAGUGAGUGAGUGAGUGAGUGAGUGAGUGAUGUAGGGCUAGUGCAUGGCCAUCUCUAAUAGCCUGUAGAGACAUGGGUCUGUCACAGCCCACCAUGCUCUCCUGGGUUAGAGAAACUGAACAAGACUUCCACUGCCACCACUCCUCACUGGAUGACCUUUAAAUCACACUAAUAGCCUGUAGAGACAUGGGGCAGCCCACCAUGCUCUCCUGGGUUAGAGAAACUGAACAAGACUUCCACUGCCACCACUCCUCACUGGAUGACCUUUAAAUCACACUAAUAGCCUGUAGAGACAUGGGGCAGCCCACCAUGCUCUCCUGGGUUAGAGAAACUGAACAAGACUUCCACUGCCACCACUCCUCACUGGAUGACCUUUAAAUCACACUAAUAGCCUGUAGAGACAUGGGGCAGCCCACCAUGCUCUCCUGGGUUAGAGAAACUGAACAAGACUUCCACUGCCACCACUCCUCACUGGAUGACCUUUAAAUCACACUAAUAGCCUGUAGAGACAUGGGGCAGCCCACCAUGCUCUCCUGGGUUAGAGAAACUGAACAAGACUUCCACUGCCACCACUCCUCACUGGAUGACCUUUAAAUCACACUAAUAGCCACAUAGUUCAGGGGGGAAAAGUGAGCAGAACAGAGUUAGUGAAAUAAAAAGUGUGAGAACGAGGCAAGUUAAGAGAGUUAAGUUGCACGUGCACAAUUUGGGAGAAGGGCGGAAAAUCGUCGCCAAUGAGUGCGUGAGUACAAGUAAUAGGCUAGUACGCAAGUCUGAGAGGCAGAGACAGAAUUGAGUAGCCUAUAAUAAGCGGGAACGAGAAGGACUAAAUGAGUGAAAGCGGGCCCGUCUCAGGGGGCCUCUCCUAGAGCUGGGCGAGUGUAACCAUUAUUAUUAUUUUUUUUAAAUAAUGAUGAAAUCAGCCAUCAAUAAUUGUCUGGUGAGGUGCUAGAGCUUGGCGAUACGGACCAAAAGUAUUAUCGUGAUAACUACCAAUUUUGUACAAUAAAAAUACACGUGUAUUUUUUUUAAUAAACAUGUUUUAAUGGACAGUUACUUUAAAAUUAGCAGUAGGGCUCUAGACCUUCCCCCAGUAAGACAACGGAGAUGGUAGCCUAUGAUUCAAAAAGUAAGCUAAUUCAUCUAACAUAUUCAGGGAAUGCAUAAUUGACAUUUUGAUGUGCAGCCUUAGCCUUACAAAAUAGGAUCCAGAUAUAUUUUUGGCUUUUCAGAGAAUUUGCUGACAUCCGGUUAUAUAUAUUACUCACCACUGAGGAAGUGGGAACUCAAAACACUUAGCUAGAUUGCUAACUCUUAAUACGAUAUUUUUGCUAUAUAUAUAUAUAUAUAUAUGAUAUAAAUUGAUGUUGUUUUAUGAUGAUACCAUCUAUCUUUUCAUAUUUGUGCAAAUCUUUCUAAAACAGAACACACCAAUCAAUGGAUAAUCAAUCAACGAAGAGGUAUACUUACGAGGCAUACAAAAGGAGACCUGUUUGAUCACCAUGCACUGGAAGAUCAUUCUGACUAUGGAUACGGAGAACGUCAACACAUUAACAUCAACACGCCAGAGGAAAGGGGGAUACCUAGUCAGUUGUACGACUCAAUGCCUGCAGGAUAUACCCACUGGACUUGGGGCUCUGCUGGGAGUUUACCUCAUAUUUGCAUGUUUUUAU
Oncorhynchus nerka (sockeye salmon) is the source of this 2261-nucleotide long non-coding RNA. RefSeq lists it as uncharacterized. The transcript has 3 exons. The record is from RefSeq and is a predicted model, not a curated record. Lineage: Eukaryota; Metazoa; Chordata; Actinopteri; Salmoniformes; Salmonidae.